Panicum virgatum (switchgrass) is the source of this 1640-nucleotide long non-coding RNA. RefSeq lists it as uncharacterized. The record is from RefSeq and is a predicted model, not a curated record. The transcript has 3 exons. NCBI's taxonomy places the organism in Eukaryota, Viridiplantae, Streptophyta, Magnoliopsida, Poales, Poaceae.
UAAAGGCUAUGUAGCAUGGAUACGGAUACGCGUAUCGGUAUCGGAAGGAUACGGAUACGUGGAUAUGUCAAAUUUCUGCAAAAGUUAAAGGCAUAAAGGUGUAUCGGAUACGGAUACACGGAUACGUAUCGGAUACGUGAUACGGGGUCAUGUUGAAGUAUCGGGGUUAUAUAGGAUAAAGGUGAUCAUGGUCUGCCCAUUUUGUUUUAGAAGCUCAUUUACAUAUGCCUACAGUGGGAAGAAACUAUUAUAGGCCUGACUUGAGAAAAGCUUCAAAACAGUGUAAUAUUCUUGGUCAGCUCAUGGUUAUUGUACUCUUUUCAAAUGCGACAAUUUUAUCAUAGCUGCUAUAAGUGAACAUCAGGUUUAUCAAAACUUAUGGGACACAUAUAAUUGUUGAAAUGGCAAUCCGAGCUCAGGAUGUUAUAUGUGUUAAACGAUAUCAUUCUUUAUUCAACUGCUGAUUUAAAUCUGCAUGUGGCGGAUCUUAGUGAUUUUUUUUCCUGAUGGGAAGAGCCAUUUCCCAAUAUAUCACAAAACAAAGAGCAAGGUGCGUGAUGUUUCUGUCAGGAUAGUGCAGCAACCUAAUAACCUGCACCUUUCUACCUACUCUGAAACAUCAACCAAGGAUGUAAGUAUUUCUUAUAACUUAGUGUCAAUUUGCUGCCUCAUGAUAUCGAGAUCGAGACAUAAGUGCCAAGGAAAUCUGAUGCUAUUAUGUUCAAAUUUGCCCCUAUCACUUCUCUUCUUACUGGUAUUCCUGGUAGUGGUUACCUCAGCCAUGCCAUUAAUUUAUAUCUUCGCUGUAAGUCCGAAAAUAAAUCUUUUUCAUAGAACUAUGUUACACGCUGUUUACUUUGUUAACUGUCUUUUAAUUGAAACAUCUUGGUUUGGAAGCUAUUUAGCUGAUUAGGUUAUUCUACGGUUUGUUCUCCCAGAUAAACCUGAUCUUCAAGACUUGCAGUAUUUCUUGAAGUUUCAAGCGCCUCUACAAUGGGCACCUAUGUUCAAUGAGCUUGUCCUCAUAAUUUUUUAGAGAUGCUUUUUGCUAUUUUCUGUAUGCCUCAUCCAAAUAUGGGUGCAUGUGUCUGAGGUAGCCACAAGGGCCCUAGAGGAUGCUUCUGAUCACUAUAAUUUUGGUGUCAACAUAAGAUCCUCAUUCAAAUAUUAGUAUUUUUUGGUAAUGUGUGUCUGUACCUUAGUUAUCCCAUUUGAUCACAUUUCAGACAAUAGCAAGAACUUGUUUGUCAAUUUAUUCUUGUCUUAAGACUGGAUGUUAGAUUGUUUACUAGGAAAUAUAUUGUCACAUGCUGUCACAUGUCACAGAUAAUGAUGAUUUAAUGAUCCCAAGUUUGACUGUUAGAUAAUCUGAUCUCGGUGACUUGGAAGCUUCACGGGCUUCUUUUCCUCAACAAUUCAAGAGCAUUAGCUUCACUGUUUGGGAUGUCGGCUGCCAAGACAAGCAAUCUCAUGGAUUUCUACUACCCUAAAGUACAGUACAAACCUGAAGCAAUUUGCUGGUAUAAAAUUCCAGAUUGGCAUGCACAGACAGGAAUUAGGGAAGUGGUUUUUAUCUGACAGUGAUAUAUUUGAUGACUAGCAUGCACAGUGUAAUCAAAAUUAGAGCAUUUUACUCUUGA